This is a long non-coding RNA of Prionailurus viverrinus (fishing cat), 253 nucleotides long. RefSeq lists it as uncharacterized. The transcript has 3 exons. The record is from RefSeq and is a predicted model, not a curated record. NCBI's taxonomy places the organism in Eukaryota, Metazoa, Chordata, Mammalia, Carnivora, Felidae.
CAGAGACGUAAGAGGUCAACAGAACUAGCUGAAGGCCGUGUCCUAGAAGCCAUGGAAUGACCAUCACAGAAAGGAACUGACUAUUCAUGCCAACUUUGGAGGUCAAGGGCCACGCUCAAGAGGCAGUGUUAAUGAACGGAAGGAAGGUCUCAAGACAACUAGUUUUGUGGUUUUCAGAAAACUUAUCAACAACUCAUUUAUUGCACCUUCGAGAAAUCAGAGAGUAGUACAGAAAAAAAAAACAAGGAAAAAG